RNAcentral lists this ribosomal RNA (253 nucleotides) under uncultured bacterium. RNAcentral describes it as "partial 16S ribosomal RNA". It matches the Rfam family "Bacterial small subunit ribosomal RNA", at positions 524 to 776 of the family's 1533-position model. The record is from RNAcentral.
UACGUAGGGGGCAAGCGUUGUCCGGGUUUAUUGGGCGUAAAGAGCGUGUAGGCGGCCAGGUAGGUCGGUUGUGAAAACUGGAGGCUCAACCUUCAGACGUCGACCGAAACCCCCUGGCUAGAGUCCGGAAGAGGAGAGCGGAAUUCCUGGUGUAGCGGUGGAAUGCGCAGAUAUCAGGAAGAACACCCGUGGCGAAGGCGGCUCUCUGGGACGGUACUGACGCUGAGACGCGAAAGCGUGGGGAGCGAACAGG